AAAGUAUUCUUCGGAAUGCGAGUAGAGUGGCGCACGGGUGAGUAACGCGUAGAUAAUCUACCCUUAUAUCUGGGAUAACUUCGCGAAAGUGAAGCUAAUACCGGAUACACUUGAGUUUAUGCGAGUAAACAUGAGGAAAGGUGACCUCUUCUUGAAAGUUACCGUAUAAGGAUGAGUCUGUGUACCAUUAGCUAGUAGGUGGGGUAAAGGCCUACCUAGGCAACGAUGGUUAGCGGGUCUGAGAGGAUGAUCCGCCACACUGGAACUGGAACACGGACCAGACUCCUACGGGAGGCAGCAGUGAGGAAUAUUGCGCAAUGGGGGAAACCCUGACGCAGCGACGCCGCGUGGGUGAAGAAGGUCUUCGGGUCGUAAAGCCCUGUCAGGUGGGAAGAAAUGCUGGUAUGUUAAUAGCGUAUCAGUUUGACGGUACCGCCAAAGGAAGCACCGGCUAAAUCCGUGCCAGCAGCCGCGGUAAUACGGAUGGUGCGAGCGUUGUUCGGAAUCACUGGGCGUAAAGGGCGCGCAGGCGGAUCUGCAAGUCAGAUGUGAAAGUCCACGGCUCAACCGUGGAAGUGCAUCUGAAACUGCAGGACUGGAGUAUGGGAGAGGAAAGUGGAAUUCCCGGUGUAGAGGUGAAAUUCGUAGAGAUCGGGAGGAAUACCGGAGGCGAAGGCGACUUUCUGGACCAAUACUGACGUUGAGGCGCGAAAGCGUGGGGAGCAAACAGGAUUAGAUACCCUGGUAGUCCACAGCUGUAAACGAUGAACACUAGGUAUAGGGGGUAGUUGACCCCUUCUG
Molecule: ribosomal RNA, 801 nt
Filed under: uncultured bacterium
Lineage: Bacteria
Description: bacterial SSU rRNA
Rfam family: Bacterial small subunit ribosomal RNA
Source: RNAcentral